GGGAUAUUAGUUUAAUGGUAGAACAAAGCGUUUCGAAAGAAUCGAUGAUUAUGAAUAACAUUAAAUUCAGCAAGAACGAAGUUAUUAUAAUCCGCUUGAGCAUGGGUUCGAUUCCCAUAUAUUCCA
RNAcentral lists this transfer RNA (126 nucleotides) under Bacteriophage sp. RNAcentral's name for it is "tRNA-Arg". It matches the Rfam family "tRNA". From Rfam's summary of the family: Transfer RNA (tRNA) molecules are approximately 80 nucleotides in length. The record is from RNAcentral.